CUGAGAGGCGACCGGCCACACUGGGACUGAGACACGGCCCAGACUCCUACGGGAGGCAGCAGUGGGGAAUAUUGGGCAAUGGAGGAAACUCUGACCCAGCGACGCCGCGUGAGGGAUGAAGGCCUUCGGGUUGUAAACCUCUUUCAGUAGGGAAGAAGCGAAAGUGACGGUACCUACAGAAGAAGCACCGGCUAACUAUGUGCCAGCAGCCGCGGUAAUACAUAGGGUGCAAGCGUUGUCCGGAAUUAUUGGGCGUAAAGAGCUCGUAGGUGGUUCGAUACGUCGGAUGUGAAAAUCAGGGGCUCAACCCCUGACCUGCAUCCGAUACGGUCGAGCUAGAGUUUGGUAGGGGAGACUGGAAUUCCUGGUGUAGCGGUGGAAUGCGCAGAUAUCAGGAGGAACACCGAUGGCGAAGGCAGGUCUCUGGGCCAAUACUGACACUGAGGAGCGAAAGCGUGGGGAGCGAACAGGAUUAGAUACCCUGGUAGUCCACGCCGUAAACGGUGGGCGCUAGUUGUGCGAACCUUCCACGGUUUGUGCGACGCAGCUAACGCAUUAAGCGCCCCGCCU
Molecule: ribosomal RNA, 570 nt
Filed under: uncultured bacterium
Lineage: Bacteria
Description: bacterial SSU rRNA
Rfam family: Bacterial small subunit ribosomal RNA
Source: RNAcentral